RNAcentral lists this ribosomal RNA (508 nucleotides) under uncultured bacterium. RNAcentral's name for it is "partial 16S ribosomal RNA". It matches the Rfam family "Bacterial small subunit ribosomal RNA", at positions 30 to 523 of the family's 1533-position model. The record is from RNAcentral.
AUUGAACGCUGGCGGCAGGCCUAACACAUGCAAGUCGAGCGGCAGCGGGAAAGUAGCUUGCUACUUUUGCCGGCGAGCGGCGGACGGGUGAGUAAUGCCUGGGAAAUUGCCCAGUCGAGGGGGGUAACAGUUGGAAACGACUGCUAAUACCGCAUACGCCCUACGGGGGAAAGCAGGGGACCUUCGGGCCUUGCGCGAUUGGAUAUGCCCAGGUGGGAUUAGCUAGUUGGGGAGGUAAUGGCUCACCAAGGCGACGCUCCCUAGCUGGUCUGAGAGGAUGAUCAGCCACACUGGAACUGAGACACGGUCCAGACUCCUACGGGAGGCAGCAGUGGGGAAUAUUGCACAAUGGGGGAAACCCUGAUGCAGCCAUGCCGCGUGUGUGAAGAAGGCCUUCGGGUUGUAAAGCACUUUCAGCGAGGAGGAAAGGUUGAUGCCUAAUACGUAUCAACUGUGACGUUACUCGCAGAAGAAGCACCGGCUAACUCCGUGCCAGCCGCCGCAGUAA